GACGAACGCUGGCGGCGUGCUUAACACAUGCAAGUCGAACGGAAAGGCCCUGCUGUUGUGGGGUGCCCGAGUGGCGAACGGGUGAGUAACACGUGUGUAACCUGCCCUUGACUUUGGGAUAACUUCAGGAAACUGGGGCUAAUACCGGAUAGGAGCUCCUGCUGCAUGGUGGGGGUUGGAAAGUUUCGGCGGUUGGGGAUGGACUCGCGGCUUAUCAGCUUGUUGGUGGGGUAGUGGCUUACCAAGGCUUUGACGGGUAGCCGGCCUGAGAGGGUGACCGGCCACAUUGGGACUGAGAUACGGCCCAGACUCCUACGGGAGGCAGCAGUGGGGAAUAGUGCACAAUGGGCGGAAGCCUGAUGCAGCAACGCCGCGUGCGGGAUGACGGCCUUCGGGUUGUAAACCGCUUUCGCCUGUGACGAAGCGUGAGUGACGGUAAUGGGUAAAGAAGCACCGGCUAACUACGUG
RNAcentral lists this ribosomal RNA (468 nucleotides) under uncultured bacterium. RNAcentral's name for it is "partial 16S ribosomal RNA". It matches the Rfam family "Bacterial small subunit ribosomal RNA", at positions 28 to 507 of the family's 1533-position model. The record is from RNAcentral.